CCCACACAGUUCAUCGAGUGUGAAUAGGAUAUGCAGGAAAGUGAAAAUCUAAAUUGGGAGUGAUGCCCCACACAAAAUUGAAUGAUGAAACUGAAAAGUAAAGAAUACUGUGCCUAUUCAGUGGUUCUUUAAAGUAGGGAGUAGCUAUGGGCCACAGCAUAGAUCUUCUGUGGUA
Small RNA from Acinetobacter rudis CIP 110305, 175 nucleotides. It matches the Rfam family "Pseudomonadales-1 RNA". The record is from Rfam. Lineage: Bacteria; Pseudomonadati; Pseudomonadota; Gammaproteobacteria; Moraxellales; Moraxellaceae.